AUAUCAAUAAGCGGAGGAAAAGAAACCAACAGGGAUUGCCUCAGUAACGGCGAGUGAAGCGGCAAUAGCUCAAAUUUGAAAGCUGGCGUCUUCGACGUCCGCGUUGUAAUUUGUAGAGGAUGUUUCGGCGAGGGCUCCUGCCUAAGUUCCCUGGAAUGGGACGUCACAGAGGGUGAGAAUCCCGUAUGUGGCGGGCGGCCUUAGCCAUGUGAAACUCCUUCGACGAGUCGAGUUGUUUGGGAAUGCAGCUCUAAAUGGGAGGUAAAUUUCUUCUAAAGCUAAAUACCGGCCAGAGACCGAUAGCGCACAAGUAGAGUGAUCGAAAGAUGAAAAGCACUUUGGAAAGAGAGUUAAAAAGUACGUGAAAUUGUUGAAAGGGAAGCGCUUGCAACCAGACUCGUUCGCAGUUGCUCAGCCCGCCUCUUGGUGGGUGUACUCUUCUGCGGUCGGGCCAGCAUCAGUUCGGGCGGUCGGAUAAAGGUGUCGGGAAUGUAGCACCCUUCGGGGUGUGUUAUAGCCCGGCGCGGAAUGCGGCCAGCCUGGACUGAGGAUCUCGCUUCGGCAAGGAUGCUGGCGUAAUGGUUGUAAGCGGCCCGUCUUGAAACACGGACCAAGGAGUCUAACAUCUAUGCGAGUGUUUGGGUGUCAAACCCAUGCGCGUAAUGAAAGUGAACGGAGGUGGGAACCCGCAAGGGUGCACCAUCGACCGAUCCUGAUGUCUUCGGAUGGAUUUGAGUAAGAGCAUAGCUGUUGGGACCCGAAAGAUGGUGAACUAUGCCUGAAUAGGGUGAAGCCAGAGGAAACUCUGGUGGAGGCUCGCAGCGGUUCUGACGUGCAAAUCGAUCGUCAAAUUUGGGUAUAGGGGCGAAAGACUAAUCGAACCAUCUAGUAGCUGGUUCCUGC
Molecule: ribosomal RNA, 903 nt
Filed under: Phyllosticta citricarpa
Lineage: Eukaryota; Fungi; Ascomycota; Dothideomycetes; Botryosphaeriales; Phyllostictaceae
Also listed under: 1 other name
Description: partial large subunit ribosomal RNA
Rfam family: Eukaryotic large subunit ribosomal RNA
Source: RNAcentral